GCCGGGUGUGGUGGCGCGCACCUGUAGUCCCAGCUACUUGGGAGGCUGAGAGAUGGGAGGAUUGCUUGAGCUCAGGAGAUUGAGGCUGCAGUGAGCUAUAAUCACACCACUGCACUCCAGCCUGGGUGACAGAGAGAGACCCUGUCUCAC
Molecule: non-coding RNA, 150 nt
Filed under: Pan paniscus (pygmy chimpanzee)
Lineage: Eukaryota; Metazoa; Chordata; Mammalia; Primates; Hominidae
Also listed under: 1 other name
Source: Rfam by way of RNAcentral